Molecule: non-coding RNA, 985 nt
Organism: Dermacentor albipictus
Lineage: Eukaryota; Metazoa; Arthropoda; Arachnida; Ixodida; Ixodidae
Source: RefSeq, a predicted model, not a curated record
GGCCGUAGUGCGUCUGGAACGGGUCCAGCAUGGUCAGCGAAUCUGUCAGCCGCAUCUUGGUCGCGAAGAAAGUGCCGCCUGCGCAGACAUGAAGAGGGCGUCGCUAGAAUCGUCAACCCACCGCACGCUCACAAGAGGACGUGGUGGACGCACUGAGGAGACCUGGAGACGAAGUCCAGUGGCAUGGUCGUAAGAAUGGGCUCGAGUGCUCACUGGCAAAGUCGGAACUCUUCUCAAAGGGACAGACAACCGCUGAGAACAUAAAUCGAGAUCUCGGUCGGGAAAAGGGCGCUCCGCCCAAACUGAACAAGAUCACCCAGGACGCAGCGAGCGCGCUGACCGACUGCGACGUUCCCGGACAACUCCACAUCGUCGACCUAGAGGACAACCGGGACGCGCUCACCACGUACAGCGAAAUUGCAAAACACCUUCACCUGGGGCGCCGCAUCUUUCCGUCGCCACACCCAAAAUAUAACAGGCCGCAUGCGCUAACACUACGCUUGCUCCGCACGCCCAUUUACAAAGUUACGCGUUUUCAAUCCCGACGCGUACCACAGUCACGUGCCCCUCAUCCAGAGACAGGGCGACACUCGCGCACAUGCUCCGAGAGUGAAGAAAGGCUCUUCUAGGCUGUACCUCGGACAAGUGGGAGAAGUCCCUUAGAAGCAUACUAGUCGCCGUCCAGCAAUGGGCCAUGCAGCAAGACCGCGAAGCGGCCGCCAGGUAUUGCAUGUCGGUACUACGUGUUGGUACUACGUGUCGGUACCAUGUCGGUACUACGUGGGACGCGCCCGCUACGCGCCAAGCGUGUCCGGCAGGACCAACAUAAACUUUUCCACUCAAGUUCGGUGCGUCAGUACUCGAAUUUCCGCCACGUGGACGCAUUUGAUGCCGUUUGUGGAUUCGUACAAUCGACUAAAGGAAUAAGAUUUUUAAUGUCUGUUUAACACUAGGCCCCCGGUACCCGCCGAGGGAUUGGAAAAGC